GCAUAACUGCGGGGUUGGCGUUUCCUACAGACCCCUUGACCCUAAUUACAUUCUGCCUGGGAACCAGACGCAGCUAGGUGUGCAAGCUCAUCUUGAGUGAGAAGCCCGAAAGAUUGUUGAGGUACCCACUUGAACCCUGCGGUUCAAGGGCAUAAGGUUAAGCGGCUUUCGCGGUUAUGCU
This 181-nucleotide non-coding RNA is filed under the name Cardiobacteriaceae bacterium. RNAcentral's name for it is "6S RNA". It matches the Rfam family "6S / SsrS RNA". From Rfam's summary of the family: E. coli 6S RNA was the first non coding RNA to be sequenced, but its function was unknown until recently. It consists of 184 nucleotides that fold into an extended hairpin structure with a large single-stranded internal bulge. The 6S RNA specifically associates with RNA polymerase holoenzyme containing the sigma70 specificity factor. The record is from RNAcentral. Lineage: Bacteria; Pseudomonadati; Pseudomonadota; Gammaproteobacteria; Cardiobacteriales; Cardiobacteriaceae.